This 732-nucleotide ribosomal RNA is filed under the name Triticum aestivum (bread wheat). RNAcentral's name for it is "partial small subunit ribosomal RNA". The record is from RNAcentral. Lineage: Eukaryota; Viridiplantae; Streptophyta; Magnoliopsida; Poales; Poaceae.
AUGGAAACACCAAACACUUGUUCUUUUUGUUCUCUGUUUGAUAGCCUUAUGACGGACAGAGGUGAUGGACCAAUUGGUAGUCUCCCUGAACAUCUCCUUGUAGAAAUAUUGGCUCGGUUACCAACCCACGAGUGGGUUCAAAUAUCAUGUGUCAGCAAGCAUUGGGCAAGCAUGUUCCGAGGAGAAUACUUGUGGCAAACCGCUAUUGCAAGGAAAUGGCCAUCAGCUGGUUUCCGGAAACGCUGGCCUGGGCCAAUUCCCAGAGGCUCUGCUAGGAGAAGAUUCCAAGCACUUUAUGUCAGCGAAAACCUUGUACCAUCUGGUGGGGAGAUUGACGAGCUUGUUGGUCACACAUAUCUCUAUCUAAAAGAACAACUUGAGCGUGUUGCCGUUCCUCCAUCCAGCAUACUUCAUGGCACCAUCAUUGAUCAGUUCAUUGCUUGUGGUAGGACAGGAGAGAAGGCCCAUGAACUUGCUUCGAAUAUAUGGAUUGCAGUCAUUGACAAUUUGGAAGAAAACCAGCAGACGUUCAUGCUGUUAAAACACCUAGCGCAAGAAGGAGAUUUUUUCCUUCCAUUUCCAUAUUCGAGGUCGUAUAAAGUACUGUGGAGGGUGUUUGACAAGCUGUUCACCGACUUCCGUGACUGUUUCAACGGGGCAGAUUACCAUGAGGCGCUAGCAGGUGCCAAGUCUAGGUUUCAGCCAGUACCUUCUUCAUGGCUUGGACAUUAG